AGUUCGAUUCUGGGCUCAGAUUGAACGCUGGCGGGAUGCUUUUACACAUGCAAGUCGAACGGCAGCACGGACUUCGGUCUGGGUGGCGAGUGGCGAACGGGUGAGUAAUGUAUCGGAACGUGCCUAGUAGCGGGGAUAACUACGCAAGCGCAGCUAAUACCGCAUACGACCUUCGGGGGAAAGCGGGGGACCUUCGGGCCUCGCACUAUUAGAGCGGCCGAUAUCGGAUUAGCUAGUUGGUGGGGUAACGGCUCACCAAGGCGACGAUCCGUAGCUGGCUUUGAGAGGACGACCAGCCACACUGGGACUGAGACACGGCCCAGACUCCUACGGGAGGCAGCAGUGGGGAAUUUUGGACAAUGGGGGAAACCCCGAUCCAGCCAUCCCGCGUGUGCGAUGAAGGCCUUCGGGUUGUAAAGCACUUUUGGUAGGAAAGAACGCACGCGGAUACCCCGUGCAACUGACGGUACCUGUAGAAUAAGCACCGGCUAACUACGUGCCAGCAGCCGCGGUAAUACGUAGGGUGCAAGCGUUAAUCGGAAUUACUGGGCGUAAAGCGUGCGCAGGCGGUUCGGAAAGAAAGAUGUGAAAUCCCAGAGCUUAACUUUGGAACUGCAUUUUUAACUACCGAGCUAGAGUGUGUCAGAGGGAGUGUGGAAUUCCCGCGUGUAGCAGUGAAAUGCGUAGAUAUGCGGAGGAACACCGGAUGGCGAAGGCAGCUCUCUGGGAUAACACUGACGCUCAUGCACGAAAGCGUGGGGAGCAAACAGGAUUAGAUACCCUGGUAGUCCACGCCUCUAAACGAUGUCAACUAGCUGUUGGGGCCUUCGCCUUGGUAGCGCAGCUAACGCGUGAAGUUGACCGCCUGGGGAGUACGGUCAUCGCAAGAUUAAAACUCAAAGAAUUGACGGGGACCCGCAAUAAGCGGUGGAUGAUGGGAUUAAUUCGAUGCAACGCGAAAAACCUGGCCUACCCUUGAUAUGUCUGGAAUCCCGAAGAGAUUUGGGAGUGCUCGCAAGAGAACUGAACACAGGUGCUGCAUGAAGGCUGUCGUCAGCUCGUGUCGAGAUGUUGGGUUAAGUCCGCAACGAGCGCAACCCUUGUCAUUAGUUGCUACGAAAGGGCACUCUAAUGAGACUGCCGGUGACAAACCGAGGAAGGUGGGGAUGACGUCAAGUCCUCAUGGCCCUUAUGGGUAGGGCUUCACACGUCAUACAAUGGUCGGGACAGAGGGGGAAGCCCAACCUACAGGGGGAGCCAAUCCCAGAAACCCGGAUCGUAGUCCGGAUCGCAGUCUGCAACUCGACUGCGUGAAGUCGGAAUCGCUAGUAAUCGCGGAUCAGCAUUGUCGCGGUGAAUACGUUCCCGGGUCUUGUACACACCCGCCCGUCACACCAUGGGAGUGGGUUUUACCAGAAGUAGUUAGCCUAACCGUAAGGAGGGCGAUUACCACGGUAGGAUUCAUGACUGGGGUGAAGUCUAACAAGGUAA
Molecule: ribosomal RNA, 1491 nt
Filed under: uncultured Bordetella sp.
Lineage: Bacteria; Pseudomonadati; Pseudomonadota; Betaproteobacteria; Burkholderiales; Alcaligenaceae
Description: partial 16S-23S ribosomal RNA intergenic spacer
Rfam family: Bacterial small subunit ribosomal RNA
Source: RNAcentral